This 76-nucleotide transfer RNA is filed under the name Mus musculus (house mouse). RNAcentral's name for it is "tRNA-Ala". The record is from RNAcentral. Lineage: Eukaryota; Metazoa; Chordata; Mammalia; Rodentia; Muridae.
CUGCGGGAGGAGCUUAGUUGGUAGAGUUCUUGCCUAGCAUUCCGGAAGCCUUGGGUUCAGUCCCCAGCCCCACAGG